This 718-nucleotide ribosomal RNA is filed under the name Amolops wuyiensis (Sanchiang sucker frog). Its description in RNAcentral is "partial 12S ribosomal RNA". It matches the Rfam family "Bacterial small subunit ribosomal RNA", at positions 65 to 1377 of the family's 1533-position model. The record is from RNAcentral. Lineage: Eukaryota; Metazoa; Chordata; Amphibia; Anura; Ranidae.
ACCUUCACCAGGUCAAGGAGCUGGCAUCAGGCACAAUCCAUUUGCCCAUAACGCCUAGUCUUACCACACCCCCAAGGGUAAUCAGCAGUGAUAAAUCUUGUUUAUAAGCGUCAGCUUGACUCAGUUAAAGAAAAUAGGGCUGGCCAACCCGGUGCCAGCCGCCGCGGCUAAACCGCUGGAGCCCAAGUUGAUAGCCAUCGGCGUUAAGCGUGAUUAAAGUUCUAUAAAGAUUAGGGUUAAAUUAAUACCUAGUAGUAAUAAGCUUGUCAUUAAGAAAAUCACAAACGAAAGUUACCCUAAUAAUACUUGAAUACACGACAGCUAGGAACCAAACUGGGAUUAGAUACCCCACUAUGCCUAGCCGUAAACAAUUAACUUACACUAAUAAACGCCAGGGAACUACGAGCUAUGCUUAAAACCCAAAGGACUUGACGGUGUCCCAUACCCACUAGAGGAGCCUGUUCUAUAAUCGAUGAUCCCCGCUAUACCUAACCAUCCCUUGCUUUAUCAGCCUGUAUACCUCCGUCAUAAGCCUACCAUGUGAACGUCCAGUGGGCCCAACGAACCAACAUGCCAGGUCAAGGUGCAGCUCACGGAAUGGUAAGUAAUGGGCUACAAUUUCUAAUCUAGAACAAACGGAAGGUUAUGUGAAAUCAUAACAUAAAGGUGGAUUUAGUAGUAAAAAGAAAAUAGAGUGUUCUUUUUAACCCGGCCCUGG